This 207-nucleotide ribosomal RNA is filed under the name uncultured bacterium. Its description in RNAcentral is "partial 16S ribosomal RNA". It matches the Rfam family "Bacterial small subunit ribosomal RNA", at positions 568 to 774 of the family's 1533-position model. The record is from RNAcentral.
UGCGCAGGCGGUAAAUUAAGUCUGACGUGAAAGCUCCUGGCUUAACUGGGAGAGGUCGUUGGAAACUGAGUUACUUGAGGCAAUGAGAGGGAUGCGGAAUUCCCGGUGUAGUGGUGGAAUGCGUAGAUAUCGGGAGGAACACCAGUGGCGAAAGCGGCAUCCUGGCAUUGGCCUGACGCUGAAGUACGAAAGCGUGGGGAGCGAACG